This 503-nucleotide ribosomal RNA is filed under the name uncultured bacterium. RNAcentral's name for it is "partial 16S ribosomal RNA". It matches the Rfam family "Bacterial small subunit ribosomal RNA", at positions 30 to 523 of the family's 1533-position model. The record is from RNAcentral.
AUUGAACGCUGGCGGCAGGCUUAACACAUGCAAGUCGAGCGGGGUGAUGGUGCUUGCACUAUCACUUAGCGGCGGACGGGUGAGUAAUGCUUAGGAAUCUGCCUAUUAGUGGGGGACAACAUCUCGAAAGGGAUGCUAAUACCGCAUACGUCCUACGGGAGAAAGCAGGGGAUCACUUGUGACCUUGCGCUAAUAGAUGAGCCUAAGUCGGAUUAGCUAGUUGGUGGGGUAAAGGCCGACCAAGGCGACGAUCUGUAGCGGGUCUGAGAGGAUGAGCCGCCACACUGGGACUGAGGCACGGCCCAGAUGCCGACGGGAGGCAGCAGUGGGGAAUAUUGGACAAUGGGGGGAACCCUGAUCCAGCCAUGCCGCGUGUGUGAAGAAGGCCUUAUGGUUGUAAAGCACUUUAAGCGGGGAGGAGGCUCUUUUGGUUAAUACCCAAGAUGAGUGGACGUUACUCGCAGAAUAAGCACCGGCUAACUCUGUGCCAGCAGCCGCGGUAA